This 387-nucleotide ribosomal RNA is filed under the name uncultured bacterium. RNAcentral's name for it is "bacterial SSU rRNA". It matches the Rfam family "Bacterial small subunit ribosomal RNA", at positions 28 to 414 of the family's 1533-position model. The record is from RNAcentral.
GACGAACGCUGGCGGCGUGCUUAACACAUGCAAGUCGAACGGAAAGGCCCUGCUUUUGUGGGGUGCUCGAGUGGCGAACGGGUGAGUAACACGUGAGUAACCUGCCCUUGACUUUGGGAUAACUUCAGGAAACUGGGGCUAAUACCGGAUAGGAGCUCCUGCUGCAUGGUGGGGGUUGGAAAGUUUCGGCGGUUGGGGAUGGACUCGCGGCUUAUCAGCUUGUUGGUGGGGUAGUGGCUUACCAAGGCUUUGACGGUAGCCGGCCUGAGAGGGUGACCGGCCACAUUGGGACUGAGAUACGGCCCAGACUCCUACGGGAGGCAGCAGUGGGGAAUAUUGCACAAUGGGCGGAAGCCUGAUGCAGCAACGCCGCGUGCGGGAUGACGG